RNAcentral lists this long non-coding RNA (234 nucleotides) under Gossypium barbadense (sea-island cotton). RNAcentral describes it as "long non-coding RNA (GBAR_LNC005462)". The record is from RNAcentral. Lineage: Eukaryota; Viridiplantae; Streptophyta; Magnoliopsida; Malvales; Malvaceae.
GGGAGUAGUGGGCUAGUUUUGGAAAAGAAAAAAGGAAGAAAAGAUGAAUGGGAGGAAGGUAGAUUCGGCUGGAAAAGAAAAGAGAGAAAAAAGACUACACCAAAAGGAGAACACAGCACAACCUAGACCCUAAUGCCAAAAAUCCCUAACUAAAACCCCUCUGCCGAAAUCCCCUCUCUAAUCCCUUCAAUUCGGCUAAGCUCUAUCCUUCUAUCAAAUCCCUAAAAUCUUUCC